Molecule: non-coding RNA, 30 nt
Filed under: Mus musculus (house mouse)
Lineage: Eukaryota; Metazoa; Chordata; Mammalia; Rodentia; Muridae
Source: RNAcentral
CUCAAGUUCAGAGGUCAAUUAUGGUGUCUC